This 316-nucleotide unclassified non-coding RNA is filed under the name Hevea brasiliensis (rubber tree). Lineage: Eukaryota; Viridiplantae; Streptophyta; Magnoliopsida; Malpighiales; Euphorbiaceae. The record is from RNAcentral.
CUUGGUGAAGAGUGCCAUCGUUCAGGUUGAUGCAGCACCAUUCAAACAGUGGUAUCUUCAGCAUUAUGGAGUGGAUAUUGGACGGAAGAAGAAGACCUCAGCAUCUGCCAAGAAGGAAGAGGAAGGUGAUGCUCCCAGUGAGGAGGUGAAGAAGAGUAACCAUGUCCAACGCAAGCUGGAGAAACGUCAGCAGGAUCGUAAACUUGACCCUCAUAUUGAAGAACAAUUCAGCAGUGGUCGUUUGAUGGCUUGUAUUUCAUCAAGGCCAGGCCAAUGUGGUCGAGCAGAUGGAUAUAUCUUGGAGGGCAAAGAACUU